Molecule: ribosomal RNA, 440 nt
Filed under: uncultured bacterium
Lineage: Bacteria
Description: partial 16S ribosomal RNA
Rfam family: Bacterial small subunit ribosomal RNA
Source: RNAcentral
CCUACGGGAGGCAGCAGUGGGGGAUAUUGCACAAUGGGGGAAACCCUGAUGCAGCGACGCCGCGUGGGUGAAGAAGCGCCUAGGCGCGUAAAGCUCUGUUAGCAGGGAAGAAAAUGACGGUACCUGAAGAAGAAGCCCCGGCUAACGACGUGCCAGCAGCCGCGGUAAUACGUAGGGGGCAAGAGUUAUCCGGAUUUACUGGGUGUAAAGGGGGCGCAGGCGGCGAUGCAAGCCAGGAGUGAAAGCCCGGGGCUCAACCCCGGGACUGCUCUUGGAACUGCGUGGCUAGAGUGCAGGAGGGGCAGGCGGAAUGCCUGGUGUAGCGGUGAAAUGCGUAGAGAUCAGGAAGAACACCAGUGGCGAAGGCGGCUUUCUGGACUGAAACUGACGCUGAGGCACGAAAGCGUGGGGAGCGAACAGGAUUAGAUACCCCGGUAGUC